This 407-nucleotide ribosomal RNA is filed under the name uncultured bacterium. RNAcentral's name for it is "partial 16S ribosomal RNA". It matches the Rfam family "Bacterial small subunit ribosomal RNA", at positions 30 to 526 of the family's 1533-position model. The record is from RNAcentral.
AUUGAACGCUAGCGGGAUGCCUUACACAUGCAAGUCGAACGGAGUGGCGAACGGGUGAGUAAGGUAUCGGAACGUGCCCAGUAGCGGGGGAUCACUACGCGAAAGCGUAGCUAAUACCGCAUACUAUUGGAGCGGCCAAUAUCGGAUUAGCUAGUUGGUGGGUUAACGGCCCACAAAGUCGACGAUCCGUACCUGGUUUGAGAGGACGACCAGCCAUACUGGGACUGAGACACGGCCCAGACUCCUAUGGGAGGCAUCAGUGGGGAAUUUUGGACAAUGGGGGAAACCCUGAUCCAGCCAUCCCGCGUGUGCGAUGAAGGCCUUCGGGUUGUAAAGCACUUUUGGCAGGAAAGCGGUACCUGCAGAAUAAGCACCGGCUAACUACGUGCCAGCCGCCGCGGUAAUUC